This 962-nucleotide long non-coding RNA is filed under the name Sus scrofa (pig). Its description in RNAcentral is "lncRNA (ENSSSCG00015042765.1)". The record is from RNAcentral. Lineage: Eukaryota; Metazoa; Chordata; Mammalia; Artiodactyla; Suidae.
AUGUGGUGUUUGGGCCUCUGGCUCCAGCGGCUACUGGAGAGUAAGAAAGUCUCUUUUCCGUCUUCUUUUCUUCUCUUCCUCCCCUCCCCCCCCCCCCCUUCCUCGAAUCUCUGCAGUCUCAGUACUGAAGUCCCGAGUAAGAAAGUCUCGUUUCCGUCUUCUUUUCCUUCUCUUCCCCCCCCCCCCCUUCCUCCCUCGAAUCUCUGCAGUCUCAGUACUGAAGUCCCGGGUGGCUAUCGGCACCGAACUGGUCCCAUUUUGAGUAGCUCGCGUGGUGGUUUUGUGGUUGGGUUUGGGUUUGGGUACACGGAGGCCUGUGGGGAGAGCUGCAGGUGGGUGUGGGUGCAGGGAUUCUGAAGGGAGGAGCCCACGGGCCCUCCAUCUCCCUCCCAGUUCCCUGGGGAGCCACUUGGUGGUCGGGGUUCAGUCUGCGCUGUGCGGUGUGAAGAGAAAACAACAGACAGUGUCUUCCAGGGGGUGGUUCACAGCUGGCUGGAAAAAACACCUUGGGAGUCAGAAAACCGACCUGGGGCCGCCCCUGGCCUCUCGCUGUUACGGCUCUGUUUCUUCAGCCCCCGGUGACAGUCUGUGUAGACACAGUUCUUCCUUCCUUUGUGAAACCCCUGGGUUCAGUAGUAGCUGAGAUGCGCAGGGGAGGCCCGUGGUGGCUUUGGUGAGCAGAUGACUCUGAUGGGCUUUGCCUGUGACCGCAAGGAGCGCCUUCCCGGCCUCGAGCCCGCUCUCCUCCAGACAGUCUGCAGAGGGAGGCCUGCUUACACCCCCCACGUUGUCCGUGAGGAAUCAGAGGCUCAGAGAGGUGACAGACUUAGACAAAGUUGCACAGCACUGAGCGCAGGACCAGGAGGCAUCCGGGUCCCAUCUAUCCCAAGCCCCUGGGUGUCCGUUCUCUUGGGCGCCUCGUAGCUAACCAUGAACUCAGUGAAGUGUUGGUGUUGAUGGAG